This 24-nucleotide microRNA is filed under the name Prunus persica (peach). RNAcentral's name for it is "microRNA miRNA_104". The record is from RNAcentral. Lineage: Eukaryota; Viridiplantae; Streptophyta; Magnoliopsida; Rosales; Rosaceae.
AUUCAACGAUUAAGAAAUAGGACC